This 1178-nucleotide ribosomal RNA is filed under the name Escherichia coli. Its description in RNAcentral is "bacterial LSU rRNA". It matches the Rfam family "Bacterial large subunit ribosomal RNA", at positions 1 to 1212 of the family's 2925-position model. The record is from RNAcentral. Lineage: Bacteria; Pseudomonadati; Pseudomonadota; Gammaproteobacteria; Enterobacterales; Enterobacteriaceae.
GGGUUGUGAGGUUAAGCGACUAAGCGUACACGGUGGAUGCCCUGGCAGUCAGAGGCGAUGAAGGACGUGCUAAUCUGCGAUAAGCGUCGGUAAGGUGAUAUGAACCGUUAUAACCGGCGAUUUCCGAAUGGGGAAACCCAGUGUGUUUCGACACACUAUCAUUAACUGAAUCCAUAGGUUAAUGAGGCGAACCGGGGGAACUGAAACAUCUAAGUACCCCGAGGAAAAGAAAUCAACCGAGAUUCCCCCAGUAGCGGCGAGCGAACGGGGAGCAGCCCAGAGCCUGAAUCAGUGUGUGUGUUAGUGGAAGCGUCUGGAAAGGCGCGCGAUACAGGGUGACAGCCCCGUACACAAAAAUGCACAUACUGUGAGCUCGAUGAGUAGGGCGGGACACGUGGUAUCCUGUCUGAAUAUGGGGGGACCAUCCUCCAAGGCUAAAUACUCCUGACUGACCGAUAGUGAACCAGUACCGUGAGGGAAAGGCGAAAAGAACCCCGGCGAGGGGAGUGAAAAAGAACCUGAAACCGUGUACGUACAAGCAGUGGGAGCCUCUUAAUGGGGUGACUGCGUACCUUUUGUAUAAUGGGUCAGCGACUUAUAUUCUGUAGCAAGGUUAACCGAAUAGGGGAGCCGAAGGGAAACCGAGUCUUAACUGGGCGUUAAGUUGCAGGGUAUAGACCCGAAACCCGGUGAUCUAGCCAUGGGCAGGUUGAAGGUUGGGUAACACUAACUGGAGGACCGAACCGACUAAUGUUGAAAAAUUAGCGGAUGACUUGUGGCUGGGGGUGAAAGGCCAAUCAAACCGGGAGAUAGCUGGUUCUCCCCGAAAGCUAUUUAGGUAGCGCCUCGUGAAUUCAUCUCCGGGGGUAGAGCACUGUUUCGGCAAGGGGGUCAUCCCGACUUACCAACCCGAUGCAAACUGCGAAUACCGGAGAAUGUUAUCACGGGAGACACACGGCGGGUGCUAACGUCCGUCGUGAAGAGGGAAACAACCCAGACCGCCAGCUAAGGUCCCAAAGUCAUGGUUAAGUGGGAAACGAUGUGGGAAGGCCCAGACAGCCAGGAUGUUGGCUUAGAAGCAGCCAUCAUUUAAAGAAAGCGUAAUAGCUCACUGGUCGAGUCGGCCUGCGCGGAAGAUGUAACGGGGCUAAACCAUGCACCGAAGCUGCGGCAGCGAC